This is a long non-coding RNA of Homo sapiens (human), 5191 nucleotides long. RefSeq annotates it as LPCAT1 antisense RNA 1. The transcript has 2 exons. The record is from RefSeq and is a predicted model, not a curated record. NCBI's taxonomy places the organism in Eukaryota, Metazoa, Chordata, Mammalia, Primates, Hominidae.
GCAUUUGAGAAUUGUUUUUCUUUACUUUAACUUUAAAUUUCGGGCACCGAAACCAAAUGCACCUGACAGCACCCUCCUGAGUUCACGCACUCACUAGGAGAAGAGAAUCAGAAUCCAGCCCCGGAGGAAGGGCCCCAGUUUCUUUCUCCCCACUCGCGAAGUUCGCAUCUUUCGGAAUAAAACCACUGAAACACAAUCAGGGCUACGUGCAUUACCUGUGGCCACUUUCCGUUGGACUGCGCCCGUCUCUUGAUUUCUUCUACUGUUUUCCUGCGAGAAUCCUGGUCUGACCGGGACACGAACACAGGCCGUAUAUACUGGAUCAGAGCUGGAAGAGAGGAGGGGAGACGGAUCACGUGGAAUGCACGGCUCCCGCCAGGCAGGGCUGAGGAACGAGGGGGCUGCUGCAUGGCGCCCAGUGGGGCGGGAGACUCCAGAUGCCCCAGGGGCUGUGCCAUGGGUGGGCUGUGAGUCCCUGACUGAGGGAACGGGAACAGCACCCGGGCUUCCCAUGUCUGUGACAGCAGGAAGCCCUGUAGCCUCAGUGCCACAAGUAACAAACAGCAAGUCCAUGGCACCCACUGAGGACACGGAGCACAGAACGGAGGUCAAUGAAAGACAACCGCCAGGAAGCAGAAAGUCUUUAGACCCAGUCUUCACAGAGGACAGGGUUGAAGGUGCCAGGUCCCUAGAUUGGACCCCGCCUUCCCCCUGUGGGUUGAACUGCAUCCCCUAAAAGACAAGCUGAAGUCCUCACUCCUGGUACCGGGAAUGGGACCUCAUUUCGAAACAGGUGGUAGCAGAUGCUCAAGGUCCCGGAUGAGGGUCCCUAUGGGAAGAGGAGACAAAGCAGAUGCUCAAGCUAAAAUCCCAGAUGAGGGUCCCUAUGGGAAGAGGAGACGAAGAGGGGGAGAGAAGGCCAAUGAUGAAGGAGGCCAUAGGAGGAUGUGGCCACAGCCCCCACCACGAGCCGGGAGGGCCGAGGGAGCUUUCAGAAGAGCCCAAUGCGGCCAGCACUUUGUUCUGGCACUUCUGCUUUUAGACGGCGGGAGAAUAUGCUCCUGUUGUUCUAAGCCACCAGCUUUGUGGUGCUUUGUAGCACAGCCCCAGUUUAACCAUGGCACCCCACAGCCUCCUGGAAGUUGCGGGGUUGGGGUACAAGGGACACCCCGCCAUGAAGGCUGGUGCUCAGCCAAGGCAACGUGGCCACGGCACCUGUCUUUAUGCAAGAGGAUUGAACGUGGAAACAUACUUCUUAGAAGAGAAAACUCUGAAGACUUUAAAAUGAAACUAUCCCUGAGUGGAGCUUCCUUUUUGAGGACGGUGAGCAGGAUCCACACUCGGCGCCCCCCAGGCCAACUGAAGGUGUCUCUGACCCCACCACGGGCUCCUAGGCUGCUGCAGGUCAGCCCCACCUCCCCACCCCAGUUCAGUUUCCAGUUUCUUUUCUUAGCGUUUUUAUUACUUGUAAGGAGUAGCAUUUCAUGACUUUUAUUCUUUCUUGGAGGUUCUCUCCUCCAAGAACGAGAAAAUUGAAGCCAAAAAAAGAAAAUUCCUUCUAUCCUGUGGUUGUCUGUUGGGUCUCUGUGGUCUUUCCUAUGUCUUGAAUCAUUUUGCUUUUUCACGAUUCCAGUACUAUUUCAUCCUUGCUCAUUGGUUAUUCCCAACUCUGCUAAAAAGGACGAUAUCGGAAGGGAAGAAUGGCGGAGUCGUCUCGCAGGAUGGCGCACGCGUCAAAGAAAUGGCCCUGAUUGCGUGGUCUUUCGGUGCCCACUGUUUUGGCCAAAGCGUCCCAUGGUCGUCCCGGGGCACACGGGGUCUGGAGAUGCCACCCUGCCACCUUCGCAAUCCUGUCAGCUGGUUUGUUUUGUGAACAGAGUAGAGAUUUCAGAAGUUGUCUAUAACGGCAAAGAACAGAACAGUGACGUGGGGGCGUUUCACACUCAGAUGGGUCCGGGGGUAAAUGUGGGGGGUGCAGGGGGAGGACUCUGAGUGAAGUCUUGGGCCGUGCGUCUUCAUGUGGGUUGCCCGGUGUGCCUUUCACGCUGAGAACUGGGCAGUGAGGACAGCAAGGAGAUGCAGCUCCUCCCCGGGAGCCCUGAGGAGGGAAGGGUGUCACCACGCCGUGUGCACAGCCACACUGGGACUGGCGCAUUUUGCCAGCAAGAAGGUGACAGCGUUCUGCCGUCUUUUGGGCAUUUGAGGCUCAAACUUUCCUUGACAAGGUUUGUAAAUGGAUGGUGCGGAUAUGAAGGUCACUGAAAGGAAACUAAGAAUGUGAAAAGGAAAAAAUCUACCUGGUUGAUCACUUUCAUUGGUAUUCAUACAUCUAAAAAUGAAAAUAUUUUGAACAUUUUCAACAUUCAUCUCUUCAACAAAGUUGUGAGCUGUCAAAGGGUCCACGAAAGGAACCAGAAGUCACCACAAGCUGGGACCGGGGAGAUGUCUCUGAGCUGGAAACCUGGGAGACGUCUCUGAGCUGGGACCAGGGGAGAUGUCUCUGAGCUGGAAACCAGGGAGAUGUCUCUGAGCUGGGACCAUGGGAGAUGUCUCUGAGCUGGAAACCAGGGAGAUGUCUCUGAGCUGGGACCAGGGGAGAUUAUCUCUGAGCUGGGACCACGGGAGAUGUCUCUGAGCUGGAAACCUGGGAGAUGUCUCUGAGCUGGGAUGGGGGAAGAUUAUCUCUGAGCUGGGACAAGGGGAGAUGUCUCUGAGCUGGAGCCUGGGGAGAUGUCUCUGAGCUGGGGCCUGGGGAGAUGUCUCUGAGCUGGGGCCUGGGGAGACGUCUCUGAGCUGGGGCCUGGGGAGACGUCUCUGAGCUGGGACCUGGGGAGAUGGUUUUGAGCUGGAGCCUGGGGAGAUGGUUCUGAGCUCCCGAAUCAGAGGGUGCUCCAGGUGCGCAGUAGAGGAGUCAUCAGCCACGCCCCAGGACAAUGGCCCUUUCAGGCCAGGACAGCAGGGAGCAAAAUGUGGUUCCUGCUAAGUCUGAAUUCUAACGAAAAUUUCUGAUAAGCUUGUCACUAUCCUCUCCCUCGCAGGUCCGUGGAUUAUCUCUGAAAUGACAAGAAACACGCAGGGCUCCACGAGGGCCCUGCACACAGCAGCAUGGCUGUGGCCAUUCUUCCUGCUGCGCCGAGAUGAAGGUGCUGCAUGGAAACAGAGCCGGCAGGAGUGGCCAGGUGAGGGCCCCGGCCAUAGGCGACGCCCCUCGUCCCAGCAGCUCCUUCCCUCAGCACCGCCCACUGCCAACCCAGGACCCGCUGUGCCCCAGAACGUGCUGUGCUGUGCUGAUGGCGGCUGUGAAGGAAGCACGAGGACAGAACGGGCCCAGAUGCCCUGAAGAGCACCGAGGACAGAGCUCUGGUGGGUCAGGGCUGCGCACAGGUGGGUGAGGGGCCACGCAGGGCUCCCUACAGUCCUCCCAGAGCAGUGGGUCCAUGGGAUGCGGCCCCCAAAGAUGGGUCCACAUGCUGACCCUGGAACCUGUGAAUGAGGCCUUAUUUGGAAAAAGGUUUUUACAGAGGUAACUCGUUAAGGAUCUCAAGAUGAGAGCAUCCUGGAUCACCCAAUGACUGGUCCUUAUAAGAGACUCAUAGAGGAGACACUUGGAGGGAGCCAGGCCAGUCGACCACUGAGGCAGAGUCAGAGGGACGCAGCCCCCAGAGGAGGAAGAGGCAGGAAGGGGCCGCACAGGGCCUUCGGCCCAGAGACGCCUUGAUUUUGAACAUCUGGUCCCCAGAUGACGAGAGGGUGAAUCUCUGCUGGAGUGAGCCCCCGGCUUUGGGGAGGGGUCAUGGCAGCACCAGGUGCUCAGGUCCCUGGUUCACGGCACAGCCGCGGUGCAUGGGCAGCCCUGCCGACCUGCUCCCAAAGACUUCCAGAACUGCCAUCUGAUAAAGGUGAGCCACCCUUGCCAAGCAGACCUGGAGCAAGCACUGUAGCCUGUUAUGAUAGUGAGGGCACUCAGGUAGCAAUAAAAAUAACAAUUACAACAACGAAAAUUACACAGGAAACCCCAACACAGAAAAUGGGGCACAAGGCCAAUGUGCCCGGCGGUGGGGGCUCGAUCACUCCCAGCAGCGUGGUGGGGGGGGGGUCCCUCACUCCCGGUAGGGAGGGUCUCACUCAUUUCCAGCAAGUGGGGGUCCCUCAUUCCUAGCAGGGAGGGAUCUCUCAUUCCCAGAAGGGGGGGUCCCUAAAAACCAGCAGGGAGUCCCUCAUUGCCAGCAACAGAGGGGGUCUCACUCAUUCCCAACAGAGGGGGGACCCUCACUCCCAGCAGGAGGGGAAUCUCUUAUUCUCAGCAGCAGGGGGAUCUCUCACUCCCAGCAGGGCAGGGUCCCUCACUCCCAGCAGGGGUGUCUCACUCACUUCCCCAGAUCGGGAUGUCUCUGCUCUCUGCCUUCAUCACGAUGGAGGACAUCGUCAUGGUCACAGGGAUGGCGUCGAAGUAGGACGAGUGAGGCGCGAGCGUGAGGAUGGCCGCCUCGGUGGGCAGCGCCUGCCGCCCCUUCACGGCCACCCGGUGGAAGCCGCCGGCGAACCACAUGGUGCGCAUGAUGGCCUUCAGCAGGAAGUCCACAACCCUGCAAAAGAGGGCGCUGCGUCACGCGGGCACACGUCCGCAGUCUCGGAGUCUGUGUGAGGCACAGGGGCGGUCCCACGGGAGAGCCCUCCAGGGCGCAGUCCAGGCCACGGGCUUCCUGUGGUCGCCGCCGCUGGGACAUCUGCUUGAGGGAAGAAAAGACGCCGCGCCUUCCUGGCCUCCGCCUGUGUCCUCGCUGGCUGCGCUCUCACCUACGAAGGAGGCCGCGGGGCCCUGUGUGGUGGUCACGGGCCACGCGGCAGGCAGUGCUAAGACAACAUGAGACUCCGGAACACAGACAGCACAAGUCCCAGGCCAGAAGACCUCCGGACCUUCAUGUUAGCAACUUAUUUAUCAGCAUCCUAUCAUUUUGAAAUGGGAAAAACAUUAAAACACCUAAAACGCAUAUCGCAAUAUGGGGGGGGGGGCGCUCAGAGCUGAGGGCGGAAGCUGAGACCUGCGUGCGAACUUCCCCAUCUCAUCUCCACAGGAAGCCCGGGGUUCCCACAACCAGGCGUUGUGUUAUUACAGUGAGCUGUUUCUGGAGGAAAUUAGAUGGCCAAUAAAUUUGGAAAAUAAAGUAAAAAUCAGCCUAGGUUAACUGAA